RNAcentral lists this long non-coding RNA (286 nucleotides) under Brassica rapa (field mustard). Its description in RNAcentral is "long non-coding RNA (BRAP_LNC006010)". The record is from RNAcentral. Lineage: Eukaryota; Viridiplantae; Streptophyta; Magnoliopsida; Brassicales; Brassicaceae.
GUGAGCGUUCGGAUACACGUUCGGGUUUGUAUCAGAUAUUUCAGUAUAAAGUUAUAGAACCCGUUCGGGUAUUUCUACACUUCGAGUCAGGUUCGGAUAUUUCUACACUUCGAAUCGGGUUCGGGUAUUUUAUGUUCGGGUUCGGAUAUUUUGGGUCGGGUUUGAAUAUUUAAAUUUUGAAUAAAAAUAAAUAAAUUAUUCAUUGUUUAAGCUUUUUGUAUUUAAAAUAUAUUUUAACUUAACUGUUUUUUUUUAAUUUUUAAAAGAUUAAACUAUUAAUAGGUUU